RNAcentral lists this ribosomal RNA (638 nucleotides) under uncultured bacterium. RNAcentral describes it as "bacterial SSU rRNA". It matches the Rfam family "Bacterial small subunit ribosomal RNA", at positions 73 to 729 of the family's 1533-position model. The record is from RNAcentral.
AAUGAAGUUUUAGUGACUGAGUGGCGGACGGGUGAGUAACGCGUGGGUAACCUGCCUCACACAGGGGGAUAACAGUUGGAAACGGCUGCUAAUACCGCAUAAGCGCACAGUACCGCAUGGUACAGUGUGAAAAACUCCGGUGGUGUGAGAUGGACCCGCGUCUGAUUAGCUAGUUGGCAGGGCAACGGCCUACCAAGGCGACGAUCAGUAGCCGACCUGAGAGGGUGACCGGCCACAUUGGGACUGAGACACGGCCCAAACUCCUACGGGAGGCAGCAGUGGGGAAUAUUGCACAAUGGGGGAAACCCUGAUGCAGCGACGCCGCGUGAGCGAAGAAGUAUUUCGGUAUGUAAAGCUCUAUCAGCAGGGAAGAAGAAAUGACGGUACCUGACUAAGAAGCACCGGCUAAAUACGUGCCAGCAGCCGCGGUAAUACGUAUGGUGCAAGCGUUAUCCGGAUUUACUGGGUGUAAAGGGAGCGCAGGCGGAAGGCUAAGUCUGAUGUGAAAGCCCGGGGCUCAACCCCGGUACUGCAUUGGAAACUGGUCAUCUAGAAUGUCGGAGGGGUAAGUGGAAUUCCUAGUGUAGCGGUGAAAUGCGUAGAUAUUAGGAGGAACACCAGUGGCGAAGGCGGCUUAC